Gopherus evgoodei (Goodes thornscrub tortoise) is the source of this 1058-nucleotide long non-coding RNA. RefSeq lists it as uncharacterized. The record is from RefSeq and is a predicted model, not a curated record. Lineage: Eukaryota; Metazoa; Chordata; Testudines; Testudinidae. The transcript is spliced from 4 exons.
CCGGCCCUGUUUGAACUCCACUGCCCUGCAUCCAGGUACAUAGAUAUCAGUCCCCCCAACCCUCCCAUUUAAAGGCUAGGGAAUUUUUAAAAUUCCACUUCCUCUUUGCUCGGCAUGGACGACUCACAUCGCAUCUUCCCAGCUGACCAGGACGGCUCCAUGCAGUAAAUGAUCUCCCUGAGUUAUUGGAUCUGCUGGCAGUGUGGGGAGAGGAGGCUGCACAGACCCAGCUCCUCUUCAGCCAUAGGGACAUUGAUACCUAUGGUCAGAUUUCUCAUGGCAUGUUGGAGAAGGGCUACGAACGGGACACACAGCAGUGCCAUGUGAAGAUGAAGGAGCUGAGGCAGGUGUACCAGAAGGCAAGGGAGUCAAACCAUCACUCAGGUGCUGUGCCAAAGAGCUGCUGCUUCUAUAAGGAGCUGGAUGCCAUCCUCAGCAGCAACCCUGCUCCCACUGCCAGGAUACUUUGGCGGGGCUGGUGAUGGUGGAGAGCGGACUCAACCCCGAGGACAAAGUCAUGGAUGAGGAGGUUGAGUAGGAGGAUGAUGUGGCGCACACAGCAGGGUGUCUGGUGGUGCGGCGAGCCAGGACAUCUUUUCCACUCCGGAUGGGUCUAGCCAGUCCCAGCAUUCCGUCUCUGGCAUGCAUGAUGCAGGAGAGGAGAGCUGUGAUGUGGCCUUCAGGGGGAACCCCCUACAUGCUGGCAGAGCGCCUCCGCCAUAUAGGAAGUGACCAAGGAGGAUGUGUUUUGAGAGGUGCUCCAAUCCUCAGAGGCCAAAAAACAAGAAUGCAAGGUGUGGAAAGAGACUUUAAAAGAGAAUUCUAAAAUUGAGAGGCGGGACAGUGCGCUGCUCUCUCUGCCAAUGUUAGAGCACCAACGAUGGACCUGCUCUGCCGACAGAAGGAACGUUGUGAACAUGCACAAACCAUGUGCCUUACAAAGCAAGCAUCAUUCUUUCCACGCUACAGAUGAGAAAGCUGAGGCCAGAGGUGGACUUGCCCAGCAUCACACAGCAGACCAAUGGCAGACAGUUUCUUGCUAAGAAACACGACAGGAU